RNAcentral lists this ribosomal RNA (305 nucleotides) under uncultured bacterium. RNAcentral describes it as "bacterial SSU rRNA". It matches the Rfam family "Bacterial small subunit ribosomal RNA", at positions 334 to 636 of the family's 1533-position model. The record is from RNAcentral.
UGGUCCUACGGGAGGCAGCAGUGAGGAAUAUUGGUCAAUGGGCGGGAGCCUGAACCAGCCAAGUCGCGUGAGGGAAGAAGGUACUGAGUAUUGUAAACCUCUUUUGCCAGGGGACAAAGGCGGCCACGGGUGGCCGUAAGAGGGUACCUGGAGAAAAAGCAUCGGCUAACUCCGUGCCAGCAGCCGCGGUAAUACGGAGGAUGCGAGCGUUAUCCGGAUUCAUUGGGUUUAAAGGGUGCGUAGGUUGUUUUAUAAGUUAGCGGUGAAAUACCGAUGCUCAACAUCGGGGCUGCCGCUGAUACUGU